RNAcentral lists this ribosomal RNA (243 nucleotides) under uncultured bacterium. RNAcentral describes it as "partial 16S ribosomal RNA". It matches the Rfam family "Bacterial small subunit ribosomal RNA", at positions 15 to 241 of the family's 1533-position model. The record is from RNAcentral.
GAUCAUGGCUCAGGAUGAACGCUGGCGGCGUGCUUAACACAUGCAAGUCGAACGGGGAUUAUUUCAUUGAAGCUUCGGCAGAUUUGGCUUAAUCCUAGUGGCGGACCGGGUGAGUAACGCGUGGGUAACCUGCCUUGUACAGGGGGAUAACAGUCAGAAAUGACUGCUAAUACCGCAUAAGCGCACAGGACCGCAUGGUCCGGUGUGAAAACUCCGGUGGUAUAAGAUGGACCCGCGUUGGUA